Molecule: non-coding RNA, 26 nt
Filed under: Macaca fascicularis (crab-eating macaque)
Lineage: Eukaryota; Metazoa; Chordata; Mammalia; Primates; Cercopithecidae
Also listed under: 1 other name
Source: RNAcentral
UGAUAAGGUUGGCCAGUUAAUGAUGG